This 253-nucleotide ribosomal RNA is filed under the name uncultured bacterium. Its description in RNAcentral is "partial 16S ribosomal RNA". It matches the Rfam family "Bacterial small subunit ribosomal RNA", at positions 524 to 776 of the family's 1533-position model. The record is from RNAcentral. RNAcentral also lists the same sequence under 1 other name.
GACGAAGGAUGCAAGCGUUAUCCGGAUUCAUUGGGUUUAAAGGGAGCGUAGGCGGAUUGGUAAGUCAGUGGUGAAAUCUCGCAGCUUAACUGCGAAACUGCCAUUGAUACUGCUGAUCUAGAGUACAGUUGCCGUUGGCGGAAUAUGACAUGUAGUGGUGAAAUACUUAGAUAUGUCAUAGAACACCGAUUGCGAAGGCAGCUAACGAAGCUGUAACUGACGCUGAGGCUCGAAAGUGCGGGGAUCAAACAGG